CGGGUGAGUAAUGCAUUUUUAUGUGCCCUAAAGUUUAGGAUAACCAAUCAAACGGUUGGAUAAUUCUUUAUAAGUUCUCUUUAUAAAGAGAGAAGAAAGUGAGGAUUCUUUGGGAUCAUUUGAUGUCAGAUUAUGUUGGUUGGUGAGGUAACUGCUUACCAAGGCUUAGAUCUGUAGCUGUUCUAAGAAGGAAGUACAGCCACAUUGGGAUUGAGAUACGGCCCAGACUUCUACGGAAGGCAGCAGUGAGGAAUAUUGGACAAUGGGCGAAAGCCUGAUCCAGCAAUAUCGCGUGUGUGUUAAGGUCUUAGGGCUGUAAAGCACUUUACUUUCCAAAAUAAAAACUCUGAAUAUGGAUUGUUAAUAAGCACCGGCUAAUUUACGUGCCAGCAGCCGCGGUAAUACGUAAGGUGCAAGUGUUAAUCGGAUUUAUUGGGCGUAAAGGGUAUGUAGGUUGUUUAUUGUGAUGAAUGUGAAAUCCAAACUUUAUAGUUUGUAAGCAUUCAUUACUAGUAGGCUUGAAUAUCAUGGAGGGAGAUGGAAUUCUGCAAGUAGUAGUGAAAUGCAUAGAUAUGCAGAGGACCACCAAUGGCGAAGGCAAUCUCUCAAGUAGAUAUUGACACUGAGGUACUAAAGCAUGGGGAGCAAACAGGAUUAGAUACCCUGGUAGUCCAUGCCCUAAACUAUGUCAACUAACUGUUAGUCUUAGUGGUAAAGCUAACGCAUUAAGUUGACCGCCUGGGUAGUACGAUCGCAAGGUUAAAACUCAAAGGAAUUGACGGGGACCUGCACAAGCGGUGGAUGAUGUGGAUUAAUUCGAUAGUACACGAGAACCUUACCUACUUUUGACAUGUAUGGAAUCCUAUUGAAAUUUAGGAGUGCCCAUAGCACAGGUGCUGCAUGGCUGUCGUCAGUUCGUGUCGUGAGAUGUUAGAUUAAGUUCUAUAACGAACGCAACCCUCUCUCUUAUUUUCUACAGAAAGAUAAGAGGACUGCUUACUUAAGAGGAAGGUGAGGAUGACGUCAAGUCAUCAUGGCCUUUAUAAGUAGGGCUUCACACGUCAUACAAUGGUGGAUACAGUGCGUAAUAUGGUAGGGAUCAAAUUAAAUAGAGAUCUAUUCCAUCAAUCGUUAAAAUCUACCUUAGUUCGGAUUGAGAUCUGCAACUCGAUCUCACGAAGUAGGAAUCGCUAGUAAUCGCAAAUUAGAAUGUUGCGGUGAAUAUGUUCUCAGGUCUUGUACACACC
Molecule: ribosomal RNA, 1247 nt
Filed under: Candidatus Vidania fulgoroideorum
Lineage: Bacteria; Pseudomonadati; Pseudomonadota; Betaproteobacteria
Description: Candidatus Vidania fulgoroideae partial 16S ribosomal RNA
Rfam family: Bacterial small subunit ribosomal RNA
Source: RNAcentral